Molecule: unclassified non-coding RNA, 334 nt
Filed under: soil metagenome
Description: partial contains 5.8S ribosomal RNA, internal transcribed spacer 2, and large subunit ribosomal RNA
Rfam family: 5.8S ribosomal RNA (bases 1-120)
Source: RNAcentral
GAUGAAGAACGUAGUGAAAUGCGAUACGUAAUGUGAAUUGCAGAAUUCAGUGAAUCAUCGAAUCUUUGAACGCACAUUGCGCCUGCCAGCACUCUGGCAGGCAUGCCUGUUCGAGCGUCAUUUCAACCAUCAAGCCCUAGGCUUGCGUUGGAGCCCUGCGGCUGCCGCAGGCCCCUAAAAGCAGUGGUGGGCUCGCUAUCACACCGAGUGCAGUAGAUUACUCUUCGCUCAGGGCGUGUGGCGGGUUCCAGCCGUGAAACCCCCUACUUCUCAAGGUUGACCUCGGAUCAGGUAGGAAUACCCGCUGAACUUAAGCAUAUCAAUAAGCGGAGGA